CCAGUACUUUUUUAGUAGUAAAACUAGCAGAAGAGAGAACAGUUCGAAAUGUCAUUCUCAUUUAGGUUUGCUCAAAAAAUAAGGGAACGGAAAAUUAGCAGAAAUGCGAUAAAAUGUCAAAAUUCAAAAUUCCAAAAGUAAACAGCCUAAAUCGGACUGGUGAAACCUUACUGAAAAGAGCGCCAACAUUUAAAAAAUGAGUAUUGAAGACGAUAGGUUAAAAUUAAUAAUUUAUAAUAAUAAUUACUAAUCUGAUUCCUCAUUCAGCCAGUCCUCUUCACUGCUGGAAUCAUCCAAAAGUGAAUACAUCAGUUACUCCAUAUUUUCUCUUUUUGUUUUUUGCACGACAAAUAUUAGUUUUUCCUUUAGUUUUCAAGUUGAUCAUUUUCUUUAUUGAAAUGUAUCAAUACAUUUUUCAACCUUGUUAGCCCUGCCAAUUAAAUGUCAAAUUUACAAUAUGCACAUUUCUGCUCGGCCAAAUUCAUGUAGCUAAAACAAGCAGAAAUGUGCACCACUCAGCGCCAUUUUUUUCUCGAGAGAGCGGCAAGUUUUGCUAGUUUUUGGAGUACGGGAACGCGUUGUAGCAGAAUUAGUGCUAAUUAGUACUAAUUUGCAGGUUCUGGAACACAACUUUCUAUGCUUUCAAAUGUAUUGUAUACACAACUUCGUACAACCGGGCCACAAACAAUACAAUCUUGAAUACAACCUCUCCAAGCUGUACAACCAGUUGCUUCGUAUGUGGCUUGCUUUAUGGAAAAAGUUGUGUGUGUGUAACUUCGGCAAAAACUAAAAGCUGAAGUUAGUUGACGAAUAUUUAGUCCGUACCAGAAUUGCAAGAAUAUAAUAGUUUUGCUACGAUUCCCUUUAUGAUGUCGGAAAAAUUGCAAAACUAGUAGAUUCUUGCAGGUUCUGGAACAGAAAAAUGUUAAUGCUUAAGUCAUGUCCUGACGAAAUUAAAAUAAUGGAUACGAGGAAUCACUAUCCGAGUCGAUUUAAGGAUAUCUGUCCGUCCAUCUAUCUGCCCACGCAUUUUGUGGACAAAGUACAGGUCGCAUUUAUUGCCCGUCAUUCAUUUAUUUGGCCCAAGGACGAACGCUAUUGAAAUUGGUGAAAUCGGAUCAGAUUUAGAUGUAGACUUCAGUGGUAUCUUUAUUCGUUUUCAGGUUUAUAGUGCACCAAAUGUGUAAUAUUAGCCGAAGUGAAAUUAAAAGAAGUAUAAGUCGCUUUUCCCGAAAGUUGAAUACCCUCAGACUAUGUCUUUUCAUUAAAAUAUUUUUUGACAUGAUUUAUGAUCAUUCAAAAUGAUACCCCAUUAUGGGAGAGGGGGUGAGUUCCAAAGGAGUGGGCCAAUAUUGUAUAUUUUGUGUCUGACCUAAGUCUGAUAUAAAUAUCACAACCAGAUUUGGACCAUAUCGACUACUUCCUUCACUUUAUGUAUGUGAUAAUAAGAUGUCACAAUUUUUGAAGAAGGUUGAAAUGUGUGUGUGGACCGAAGAUGACCGAAGUAUUCAUCUUAUGCUGAUAAAAAUAUUGGAAUGUGUGAAAGUUGAAGAGAAUCGGAUACUUAUUUCGCAUUUUAAGAGCGUUUCGCUAUUCAAAAUGUAGACCCUUAAAGGUGGAGGUACCACCUCCGAACUCGAUCUAUAUUUUAUAAUAAUAUGACUAUAUACCAAGUUUGGACCAAAUCGGAUACUCUAUUCAAAAGUUAUCUUGCGCACAAAUCAACCAAAUAUACAUUUUUAGAGAUGGGCAAUAUCGACCCACUCCUUCUGGAAGAAAACGGGUUAUGUGAUUUGGUUAGAACUUUGCAAAUCCUAAUAUUUGCAUUACCGCAACGUUUGGUGCGAGAGGGGAUAAGAUGGGACCACUCCUUCUAGUACAUCCCCCACAAAAGGUCCAAAUUUGGAAUAUUUAAAACACUCAUAAAAUGCGAAAUGUGCCUCACAUUCUCUUUAAAUUUCACACCUAAUAAUAUUUUAACCAUUACAAGAUAUGGUGUGAAGAUGGAUAUAGGGAACUACUACUUCUGGUAACUCCCCCACAGUGGGUCAAAAUUUUGAAUGAUAAAUCGCUCAUAAAAUGCGAAGUAAGCAUCAUCCAAUUACUUUCAAACUUCGUACAUCUUAAUAUUUCUACAAAAAGAUCUUGUGUGAAGAUGGGAUAUAUCGGCCCACUCCUUCUUGUGCCUCCCCCACAAAGGUCAGGAUUUGGAGUAUCUAAACCGCUUAUAAAAUUCGAAAUGUUCAUCGCAUUGUCCUUAAAUUAACCAUUAAAAGAUAUGGUGUGAAAAUUGGAUAUACCGGUUCACACUUUUUGGUACCUUCGCUCAAAAAUGGGAAGAAAGUAUCCGAUUAUUUUCAAACUUCGCAUAUCCCAAUAUUUCUAUCAACCAAGUUCAGAUGUGAAUAUGAAAUAUAUCGGCCCACUCCUUCUAAUACCUCCCCCUACGAAGGGACUAUAUAUAUAGACAAUAGGACUCUUAUCUCACAUUUUGAAAAUAUAGUCCCUUCGUAGGUGGAGGUAUUAGAAGGAUCAACAAACUGAAACAUCAAAUGAAGGCAUAAUAACUGAAGUUGAAAGCGAAACAUUUGUUGAAAUAGCCAUAUAGUGGAGAAGCUUCCAAUGAACCGAAAUAAAUAAAAUCUAUUAAUAUGUCAUUAUCACAGUCAUUUGAUAUGAAGGGUACGGGUCUACCAUAGCAACUAUUAUUGAUACAAAAUUGUGAGUCAAAUGAAGUAUUUCUGUCUCAACGUAAGUUCAACGAAUUGGUGCUUGAUAGUUUUAGUAUAUUUUAGUAAUUUAGUAUAUUUUAGUAAUUUUAUAUAGUGCCCGAACACGGAUAUUCAUUACUUUGUACGCAAUUGAAAUAACGAAAUAUCCCUUGAAUAUUUAUCAACCGAUAACAUGUCUGCUGACAAAAUUACUCAAUAGAAACAAAUACAACUUUUGUUCAAAAAUUGAUUUCAAAGAAUCAACAAUUUCUGGCCGCGCUGUUGUCUUAGGUUAACCGCCCUGCGAAGACCUGCAAAUUGUUUUCCCUCGAUCAAUAGAACCACAUCGUCAGCAUGUGAAAUGACUUGUCCCAUUUUUUCCAGAUAUAUAAAUAUAGUAUUAGCGACUAGCAACAUUAAGUUUUGAAGGAGAGUUAUGAGUGGAUUCGAGUGUGACAUUGUUGUUGUUGUUAAUGACUCUACCAAUCCGAGAAAAGUUGCAAAGGCGAACCAUUCAUUUUUUUCUCGAUUUGAGCUAUGAAAAAAUGUAUCACUGUCUCAACGGAAUUGCCUUUCAUAUAGGCAAGCUGAGUAGUGCUGAUGGCAGUCGAGGUAAUAAAGCUCUGAUUUCAACGUCAAUUAACCUUUCUAUGGUUUUUAUUAGAAAGAAUGAGGAACUACUAGUUCUGAAUGAAGUGAAUGACUUCUUUUGCUAGCUUUUGGGAUGUCAGUCAUGGUGACCUCCCUCCACAGUACUGGAUUUUGCAAUAAAAAAAAUCUCCCCAAUAAUCAUUAAUAUUGCAGCCUAAGCAUGUUGUAGCAUGGUGGCAAUAACACCGUCUGGUCCGGGGUGUUACAGAGCUUGAACGUAUCUGAUACCCACUUGAUUUCGGAGUUGCUUAUAAGUCUGUCAGUCCACGUGCAAACGCCCGCUUAAUACUUUCUAUUGGUAUAGUAUACUUUGAAAUUACUUUUCUGAAUUGACUCAGAUAGCAGACCCAAGAGUUGCACUUGGCCUUCGAGAUCACACUCACUGUUUUAAUAUGCUUCCCAGUUCAUACGUUGUUUGGCCUUGUUGGAUCUAUUGUAAAAUCUUCUGCUAUCCCUCCAUAAAUUGGCUAGAUAUUUGGACCACCAAACUGGUUGCUAAUUUUUGCCUGGGUAGUCGUCAAUAUCUAUGGUUGAGUUUAAGGCCAAAUCAACCCAACGGUGUAGCCCCGAUAUAGCAGAGUCUUAGUCCCAAUGCGACUUCCUUGGCUUCGUAUUGGGUCUUCGUUACGUCCCGUCACUGUCACCGACAACGUCUCUGCACGUCAUAAGUGAGUCGUCCCCGCCCAUGUUCAAAAUGAUAUUCCCAUGUGGUGCGUCAUGACAUUCCCUCUAUAUCAUGUCCCUUCGUAGGUGGAGGUAUUAGAAGGAUCAACAAACUGAAACAUCAAAUGAAGGCAUAAUAACUGAAGUUGAAAGCGAAACAUUUGUUGAAAUAGCCAUAUAGUGGAGAAGCUUCCAAUGAACCGAAAUAAAUAAAAUCUAUUAAUAUGUCAUUAUCACAGUCAUUUGAUAUGAAGGGUACGGGUCUACCAUAGCAACUAUUAUUGAUACAAAAUUGUGAGUCAAAUGAAGUAUUUCUGUCUCAACGUAAGUUCAACGAAUUGGUGCUUGAUAGUUUUAGUAUAUUUUAGUAAUUUAGUAUAUUUUAGUAAUUUUAUAUAGUGCCCGAACACGGAUAUUCAUUACUUUGUACGCAAUUGAAAUAACGAAAUAUCCCUUGAAUAUUUAUCAACCGAUAACAUGUCUUCUGACAAAAUUACUCAAUAGAAACAAAUACAACUUUUGUUCAAAAAUUGAUUUCAAAGAAUCAACAAUUUCUGGCCGCGCUGUUGUCUUAGGUUAACCGCCCUGCGAAGACCUGCAAAUUGUUUUCCCUCGAUCAAUAGAACCACAUCGUCAGCAUGUGAAAUGACUUGUCCCAUUUUUUCCAGAUAUAUAAAUAUAGUAUUAGCGACUAGCAACAUUAAGUUUUGAAGGAGAGUUAUGAGUGGAUUCGAGUGUGACACUGUUGUUGUUGUUAAUGACUCUACCAAUCCGAGAAAAGUUGCAAAGGCGAACCAUUCAUUUUUUUCUCGAUUUGAGCUAUGAAAAAAUGUAUCACUGUCUCAACGGAAUUGCCUUUCAUAUAGGCAAGCUGAGUAGUGCUGAUGGCAGUCGAGGUAAUAAAGCUCUGAUUUCAACGUCAAUUAACCUUUCUAUGGUUUUUAUUAGAAAGAAUGAGGAACUACUAGUUCUGAAUGAAGUGAAUGACUUCUUUUGCUAGCUUUUGGGAUGUCAGUCACGGUGACCUCCCUCCACAGUACUGGAUUUUGCAAUAAAAAAAAUCUCCCCAAUAAUCAUUAAUAUUGCAGCCAAAGCAUGUUGUAGCAUGGUGGCAAUAACACCGUCUGGUCCGGGGGUGUUACAGAGCUUGAACGUAUCUGAUACCCACUUGAUUUCGGAGUUGCUUAUAAGUCUGUCAGUCCACGUGCAAACGCCCGCUUAAUACUUUCUAUUGGUAUAGUAUACUUUGAAAUUACUUUUCUGAAUUGACUCAGAUAGCAGACCCAAGAGUUGCACUUGGCCUUCGAGAUCACACUCACUGUUUUAAUACGCUUCCCA
Molecule: long non-coding RNA, 5363 nt
Organism: Musca domestica (house fly)
Lineage: Eukaryota; Metazoa; Arthropoda; Insecta; Diptera; Muscidae
Exons: 3
Source: RefSeq, a predicted model, not a curated record